UCUUACAGAUGUUGGAGAAGCAACCAUGGUUAUGAUGAGUGUCAUCAAAAAUGGUGGGAUUGCACCUGGAGGCUUCAACUUCGACGCCAAACUGCGAAGAGAGAGUACAGAUGUUGAAGACUUGUUCAUUGCUCA
Molecule: non-coding RNA, 135 nt
Organism: Camelina sativa (false flax)
Lineage: Eukaryota; Viridiplantae; Streptophyta; Magnoliopsida; Brassicales; Brassicaceae
Source: RefSeq, a predicted model, not a curated record